UACGGGGGGAGCAAGCGUUGUUCGGAUUUACUGGGCGUAAAGGGCGCGUAGGCGGUCGUGACAAGUCAGUUGUGAAAUCUCCGGGCUUAACUCGGAAAGGUCAACUGAUACUGUGCGACUAGAGUGCAGAAGGGGCAACUGGAAUUCUCGGUGUAGCGGUGAAAUGCGUAGAUAUCGAGAGGAACACCUGCGGCGAAGGCGGGUUGCUGGGCUGACACUGACGCUGAGGCGCGAAAGCCAGGGGAGCGAACGGG
This 254-nucleotide ribosomal RNA is filed under the name uncultured bacterium. RNAcentral describes it as "partial 16S ribosomal RNA". It matches the Rfam family "Bacterial small subunit ribosomal RNA", at positions 524 to 776 of the family's 1533-position model. The record is from RNAcentral.